Molecule: ribosomal RNA, 253 nt
Filed under: uncultured bacterium
Lineage: Bacteria
Description: partial 16S ribosomal RNA
Rfam family: Bacterial small subunit ribosomal RNA
Source: RNAcentral
UACGUAGGGUGCAAGCGUUGUCCGGAAUUAUUGGGCGUAAAGAGCUCGUAGGCGGUUUGUCGCGUCUGCUGUGAAAACCCGAGGCUCAACCUCGGGCCUGCAGUGGGUACGGGCAGACUAGAGUGCGGUAGGGGAGAUUGGAAUUCCUGGUGUAGCGGUGGAAUGCGCAGAUAUCAGGAGGAACACCGGUGGCGAAGGCGGCUAUCUGGACAGAGUCUGACGCUGAGGCGCGAAAGCUAGGGGAGCAAACAGG